This 372-nucleotide long non-coding RNA is filed under the name Carica papaya (papaya). RNAcentral's name for it is "long non-coding RNA (CPAP_LNC004072)". Lineage: Eukaryota; Viridiplantae; Streptophyta; Magnoliopsida; Brassicales; Caricaceae. The record is from RNAcentral.
UCAUAAACAACAAUUUAGAAGGAGAUUACUUGACCCAGUAAGUAGCCACCUUGAUAAACAAACCCGAGUUGUCCUUCUCCUGCCCUACUUCCUACUGGAUAGCCUUCCUGACCUUCCUAGCCAUGUCAGCAUUGUGGUCACUCGCAUGGUAACCUAUCUUGUCGGCAUAUUAAUUAUGCCUGCUAUUGGUGCGGAAGCACCCAACACUUUAUAAAGGAUUGCCCUCAGUGAUCGAAGGACAUGACAAGACUUGUGGUCAAGUGUCGUGUAUACAGCCUAAAUGAACCCUGUGCUCUCCCCACUCCUGUCAUUAUCCAAGGUAUGCCUUCUGCUAAGGCUUUAAUCAAAUACAGGUACUACUCAUUCUUUUAU